Podarcis lilfordi (Lilford's wall lizard) is the source of this 82-nucleotide non-coding RNA. The record is from the annotation of a GenBank genome assembly. Lineage: Eukaryota; Metazoa; Chordata; Lepidosauria; Squamata; Lacertidae.
GCAACUGGAUAGCUCAGUCGGUAGAGUAUGAGGCUUGUAAUCUCAGGGCUGUGGGUUUGAGCAAACAGAUUAGUGUGAUGCA